RNAcentral lists this ribosomal RNA (116 nucleotides) under Candidatus Woesearchaeota archaeon. The record is from RNAcentral. Lineage: Archaea; Nanobdellati; Candidatus Woesearchaeota.
UUGGACGGUCAUAGGGACCUGGUUCAUCCGAUCUCGUUCCGAUCUCGGCAAUUAAGAAGGUCUCCGUUUCUAGUCGUACUGUACUUUUGUACGGGAGCCUAGAAAAGCUGUCCACC